Molecule: transfer RNA, 75 nt
Filed under: Gammaproteobacteria bacterium
Lineage: Bacteria; Pseudomonadati; Pseudomonadota; Gammaproteobacteria
Description: tRNA-Val
Rfam family: tRNA
About the family: Transfer RNA (tRNA) molecules are approximately 80 nucleotides in length.
Source: RNAcentral
AGGCGCGUAGCUCAGUGGUAGAGCAUCACCUUGACAUGGUGGUGGUCGGUGGUUCGAUUCCACUCGUGCCUACCA